UGAGGAUAUAGCUCAGUUGGUAGAGUACUUGUCUCGCAUGCACAUGGCCUUGGGUUCAAUCCCCAGUACCACAA
RNAcentral lists this transfer RNA (74 nucleotides) under Marmota monax (woodchuck). Its description in RNAcentral is "tRNA.Ala". It matches the Rfam family "tRNA". Rfam says of the family: Transfer RNA (tRNA) molecules are approximately 80 nucleotides in length. Their secondary structure includes four short double-helical elements and three loops (D, anti-codon, and T loops). Lineage: Eukaryota; Metazoa; Chordata; Mammalia; Rodentia; Sciuridae. The record is from RNAcentral.